This 492-nucleotide ribosomal RNA is filed under the name uncultured bacterium. RNAcentral describes it as "partial 16S ribosomal RNA". It matches the Rfam family "Bacterial small subunit ribosomal RNA", at positions 29 to 507 of the family's 1533-position model. The record is from RNAcentral.
AGUGAACGCUGGCGGUAGGCCUAACACAUGCAAGUCGAACGGCAGCACAGUAAGAGCUUGCUCUUACGGGUGGCGAGUGGCGGACGGGUGAGGAAUACAUCGGAAUCUACUUUUUCGUGGGGGAUAACGUAGGGAAACUUACGCUAAUACCGCAUACGACCUACGGGUGAAAGCAGGGGAUCUUCGGACCUUGCGCGAUUGAAUGAGCCGAUGUCGGAUUAGCUAGUCGGCGGGGUAAAGGCCCACCAAGGCGACGAUCCGUAGCUGGUCUGAGAGGAUGAUCAGCCUCAGUGGAACUGAGACACGGUCGAGGCGCCUACGGGAGGAAGCAGUGGGGAAUAUUGGCCAAUGGCCGCAAGCCUGAUCCAGCCAUACCGCGUGGGUGAAGAAGGCCUUCGGGUUGUGAAGCCCUUUUGUUGGGAAAGAAAAGCAGCAGGUUAAUACCACGCUGUUCUGACGGUACCCAAAGAAUAAGCACCGGCUAACUUCGUG